GACGAACGCUGGCGGCGUGCUUAACACAUGCAAGUCGAACGGUAAGGCCCUUCGGGGUACACGAGUGGCGAACGGGUGAGUAACACGUGGGUGAUCUGCCCUGCACUUCAGGAUAAGCCUGGGAAACUGGGUCUAAUACCGGAUAGGACCACUGCCUGCAUGGGUGGUGGUGGAAAGCUUUUGCGGUGUGGGAUGGGCCCGCGGCCUAUCAGCUUGUUGGUGGGGUGAUGGCCUACCAAGGCAACGACGGGUAGCCGGCCUGAGAGGGUGACCGGCCACACUGGGACUGAGAUACGGCCCAGACUCCUACGGGAGGCAGCAGUGGGGAAUAUUGCACAAUGGGCGCAAGCCUGAUGCAGCGACGCCGCGUGAGGGAUGACGGCCUUCAGGUUGUAAACCUCUUUCAGCACCGACGAAGCGCAAGUGACGGUAGGUGCAGAAGAAGGACCGGCCAACUACGUGCCAGCCGCCGCCGUAA
This 478-nucleotide ribosomal RNA is filed under the name uncultured bacterium. Its description in RNAcentral is "partial 16S ribosomal RNA". It matches the Rfam family "Bacterial small subunit ribosomal RNA", at positions 28 to 523 of the family's 1533-position model. The record is from RNAcentral.